UCCUCCCUCUUUCUUCGUGCUUAACACAUGCAAGUCGAACGGAAAGGCCCUGCUUGCAGGGUACUCGCGUGGCGCAAGGGUGUGUAAAACGUGGGAGAACUGCCCUGUACUUCGGGGUAAGCCUGGGAAACUGGGUCUCAUACAGGGAAGGAGCCAUUCUUCGGGAGAUGGUUGGAAGGAAUUUUUGGUGUAGGAUGGGCGCGCGGCCUAUUAGCUUGUUGGUUGGGUAAUGGCCUACCAAGGCGGCGAUGGGUAGCCGGCCUGGGAGGGGGGACGGCCACAAUGGGACUGGGAUACGGGCCAGAAUUCUACCGGAGGCAGCAGGGGGGAAUAUUGCACAAUGGGCGCAAGCCUGAUGCAGCGACGCCGCGGUGGGGAUUACGGCCUUUGGGUUGUAAACUCCUUUCGCUAGGGACGAAGCUUUUUGUGACGGUACCUAGUAAAGAAGCACCGGCUAACUACGUG
This 465-nucleotide ribosomal RNA is filed under the name uncultured bacterium. RNAcentral describes it as "partial 16S ribosomal RNA". It matches the Rfam family "Bacterial small subunit ribosomal RNA", at positions 36 to 507 of the family's 1533-position model. The record is from RNAcentral.